GAUGAACGCUAGCUACAGGCUUAACACAUGCAAGUCGAGGGGAAACGACAUCGAAAGCUUGCUUUUGAUGGGCGUCGACCGGCGCACGGGUGAGUAACGCGUAUCCAACCUGCCCACCACUUGGGGAUAACCUUGCGAAAGUAAGACUAAUACCCAAUGAUAUCCCACGAAGACAUCUGAAUGGGAUUAAAGAUUUAUCGGUGAUGGAUGGGGAUGCGUCUGAUUAGCUUGUUGGCGGGGUAACGGCCCACCAAGGCAACGAUCAGUAGGGGUUCUGAGAGGAAGGUCCCCCACAUUGGAACUGAGACACGGUCCAAACUCCUACGGGAGGCAGCAGUGAGGAAUAUUGAUCAAUGGGCGAGAGCUUGAACCAGCCAAGUAGCGUGCAGGAAGACGGCCCUAUGGGUUGUAAACUGCUUUUAUAAGGGAAUAAAGUGGGUCACGUGUGACUUUUUGCAUGUACCUUAUGAAUAAGGACCGGCUAAUUCCGUG
RNAcentral lists this ribosomal RNA (492 nucleotides) under uncultured bacterium. RNAcentral describes it as "partial 16S ribosomal RNA". It matches the Rfam family "Bacterial small subunit ribosomal RNA", at positions 28 to 507 of the family's 1533-position model. The record is from RNAcentral.